Molecule: ribosomal RNA, 460 nt
Filed under: uncultured bacterium
Lineage: Bacteria
Description: partial 16S ribosomal RNA
Rfam family: Bacterial small subunit ribosomal RNA
Source: RNAcentral
CCUACGGGAGGCUGCAGUGAGGAAUAUUGGUCAAUGGGCGCGAGCCUGAACCAGCCAAGUAGCGUGAGGGAUGACGGCCCUAUGGGUUGUAAACCUCUUUUGUAUGGGAAUAAAGGGCACCACGUAUGGUGCUCUGCGUGUACCCGAAGAAUAAGCAUCGGCUAACUCCGUGCCAGCAGCCGCGGUAAUACGGAGGAUCCGAGCGUUAUCCGGAUUUAUUGGGUUUAAAGGGAGCGUAGGCGGGUUGUUAAGUCAGUUGUGAAAAUGCGCGGCUCAACCGUCAACUGGCAGUUGAUACUGGCAUCCUUGAGUACAGUAGAGGUAGGCGGAAUGCGUGGUGUAGCGGUGAAAUGCUUAGAUAUCACGCAGAACUCCGAUUGCGAAGGCAGCCUGCCGGCCUGCAACUGACGCUGAUGCUCGAAAGUGUGGGUAUCAAACAGGAUUAGAUACCCUUGUAGUC